Long non-coding RNA from Papaver somniferum (opium poppy), 1131 nucleotides. RefSeq lists it as uncharacterized. NCBI's taxonomy places the organism in Eukaryota, Viridiplantae, Streptophyta, Magnoliopsida, Ranunculales, Papaveraceae. The record is from RefSeq and is a predicted model, not a curated record. The transcript is spliced from 4 exons.
UGGAAAUAUGAUGGUUGGAACUUCUUUUUGGUAUAUAUAUAUUAUAUAGGCAUAGCCAAAGAACAUGCGAAGUGCGCGAACUACAUCCUUCUUUUUUGUAUAUGUACUUGUGAAGGAAAAACGCAUUUAUCUUUUGGGGCUUCUACAGUUUAUAGAAUGAUAUGUCUGUCAACUUUUGUGGUUAUAAUACGACAGACUAUAGCCAUUAAGGCAGGUACUGAAUCUACUGAUGGAGCAGUUAUCGGCUAAAAACAUGUCUGCCAACUUUUGUAUUUAAUAUUUAUCAUAUAUAAUGGCAGAUUCUUACUUAUAGCUAGGAAAGUAACUUUGAUUUUCCUAAUCUAAGGAUUCUAAGCUCAAGUUUACUCUACUUUUGUAUGUAUGUUAAAGAUGGUCACUUGGGAAGUCAUAUAACUGAUAAUCUGAUAUAAGUUUGUGUUUUUACCCGAUGGGUACCCGGACCCGGUGAUUACCCGUGACCUUUACCGGGUCCGGUUCUGGGCCAACACAUUAUGGAACCGGCCCCGGAACCGCUAGGACCCGGAACCGACGCUGAUAUGUCGGGUCCGGUUCUGGGCCAUGUACUACCCGGGAGGACCCGGACCCGUUGACAGCCCUGGUUGGGACCUUGUAUCCGUUUCUGCGCUAUUUUGGAUAUGGCCUGCAGUGGAAAGAAGCAAUUGUUCUUGUUUGGUCAGGCUUAAGAGGUGCUGUGGCAUUGUCUAUGUCAUUAUCAGUGAAGCGUGCAAGCGACAGCUCAACCUUUUUAAAUCGUGAAACAGGAACUCUGUUUCUUUUCUUUACCGGUGGAAUUGUAUUCCUGACGCUCAUUAUCAAUGGAUCGACGACACAAUUCCUUUGACGUUCUCUGGGUUUGGAUAAGCUAUCAGCUGCGAAGAAACGCAUCUUGGACUACACAAGGUACGAAAUGAUGAAUAAGGCACUGGAAGCAUUUGGUGAUCUUGGAGAUGAUGAAGAACUAGGUCCUUCUGAAUGGCCCACGGUGCAAAAAUAUCUUGCUUGUUUGAAUAACCUGGAAGAAGAUCAGGUCAUCCUCACACUCAAUCCCAGAAUGAGAUUAACAUCGACGCUAUGAAUAUAGAAGACACCCGAGUACGCCUCUUAAAUGGU